GAGGAAUAUUGGUCAAUGGACGGAAGUCUGAACCAGCCAAGUAGCGUGCAGGAUGACGGCCCUACGGGUUGUAAACUGCUUUUGUAUGGGGAUAAAGUCAACCACGUGUGAUUGUUUGCAGGUACCAUACGAAUAAGGACCGGCUAAUUCCGUGCCAGCAGCCGCGGUAAUACGGAAGGUUCGGGCGUUAUCCGGAUUUAUUGGGUUUAAAGGGAGCGUAGGCCGGAGAUUAAGUGUGUUGUGAAAUGUAGACGCUCAACGUCUGAAUUGCAGCGCAUACUGGUUUCCUUGAGUACGCACAACGUUGGCGGAAUUCGUCGUGUAGCGGUGAAAUGCUUAGAUAUGACGAAGAACUCCGAUUGCAAAGGCAGCUGACGGGAGCGCAACUGACGCUUAAGCUCGAAGGUGCGGGUAUCAAACAGGAUUAGAUACCCUGGUAGUCCGCACAGUAAACGAUGGAUGCCCGCUGUUAGCGCCUGGCGUUAGCGGCUAAGCGAAAGCAUUAAGCAUCCCACCUGGGGAGUACGCCGGCAACGGUG
RNAcentral lists this ribosomal RNA (539 nucleotides) under uncultured bacterium. RNAcentral's name for it is "bacterial SSU rRNA". It matches the Rfam family "Bacterial small subunit ribosomal RNA", at positions 356 to 896 of the family's 1533-position model. The record is from RNAcentral.